Molecule: ribosomal RNA, 492 nt
Filed under: Streptococcus sp. oral taxon 074
Lineage: Bacteria; Bacillati; Bacillota; Bacilli; Lactobacillales; Streptococcaceae
Description: bacterial SSU rRNA
Rfam family: Bacterial small subunit ribosomal RNA
Source: RNAcentral
GAUGAACGCUGGCGGCGUGCCUAAUACAUGCAAGUAGAACGCUGAAGCUUGGUGCUUGCACCGAGCGGAUGAGUUGCGAACGGGUGAGUAACGCGUAGGUAACCUGCCUGGUAGCGGGGGAUAACUAUUGGAAACGAUAGCUAAUACCGCAUAACAACAGUUAUUGCAUGAUAGCUGUUUAAAAGGGGCAAUUGCUCCACUACCAGAUGGACCUGCGUUGUAUUAGCUAGUUGGUGAGGUAACGGCUCACCAAGGCGAUGAUACAUAGCCGACCUGAGAGGGUGAUCGGCCACACUGGGACUGAGACACGGCCCAGACUCCUACGGGAGGCAGCAGUAGGGAAUCUUCGGCAAUGGACGGAAGUCUGACCGAGCAACGCCGCGUGAGUGAAGAAGGUUUUCGGAUCGUAAAGCUCUGUUGUAAGAGAAGAACGAGUGUGAGAGUGGAAAGUUCACACUGUGACGGUAUCUUACCAGAAAGGGACGGCUACUA